This 72-nucleotide transfer RNA is filed under the name Loxodonta africana (African savanna elephant). It matches the Rfam family "tRNA". From Rfam's summary of the family: Transfer RNA (tRNA) molecules are approximately 80 nucleotides in length. Their secondary structure includes four short double-helical elements and three loops (D, anti-codon, and T loops). Lineage: Eukaryota; Metazoa; Chordata; Mammalia; Proboscidea; Elephantidae. The record is from Rfam by way of RNAcentral.
GCUCUGGUGGCACAAUGAUUAAGUGCUUAGCUGCUAACCAUAAGGUUGAUGGUUUGAAUCCAUCCAGUGGCU